UCAUACCAAUCACUUUCUUGCUUGUCACAUUGCUAAACUUUGUUGGCUCUCAUUUUCUUUCUCAACAUUAUUUCUAUUAGAAAUAAUCUCAUUGGGCUUUGGAUGUACCAUUUGCCAAUGCCUCUUCUCAUCUGUCAUUUCAAAUUCCACCUCAAUGGAGCUUCGUUUCUUGGCCCCUUUCAGCUCCAACCUCCACCUUCAUCCUCACUUUCAUAU
This 216-nucleotide long non-coding RNA is filed under the name Vigna radiata. RNAcentral describes it as "long non-coding RNA (VRAD_LNC002792)". Lineage: Eukaryota; Viridiplantae; Streptophyta; Magnoliopsida; Fabales; Fabaceae. The record is from RNAcentral.